This is a non-coding RNA of Pterulicium gracile, 98 nucleotides long. The record is from the annotation of a GenBank genome assembly. Lineage: Eukaryota; Fungi; Basidiomycota; Agaricomycetes; Agaricales; Pterulaceae.
UCUCUGAUAGUAUAUCGGUUAGUACACGCGCCUGUCAUUCAAUUCCUUGCGUUGAUGAUUAUUCGCGCGAAAGCUGGGUUCGACUCCCAGUCAGAGAG